RNAcentral lists this ribosomal RNA (403 nucleotides) under Fusobacteriota bacterium. RNAcentral's name for it is "Fusobacteria bacterium partial 16S ribosomal RNA". It matches the Rfam family "Bacterial small subunit ribosomal RNA", at positions 355 to 776 of the family's 1533-position model. The record is from RNAcentral. Lineage: Bacteria; Fusobacteriati; Fusobacteriota.
UGGGGAAUUUUGCACAAUGGAGGAAACUCUGAUGCAGCGACGCCGCGUGAGUGAUGACGAUCUUCGGAUUGUAAAACUCUGUCCUUAGUGAAGAUAAUGACAGUAACUAAGAAGCAAGCCCUGGCUAAAUACGUGCCAGCAGCCGCGGUAAUACGUAUGGGGCAAGCGUUGUCCGGAAUUAUUGGGCGUAAAGGGUACGUAGGCGGUUUAAUAAGUCCUAAUUAAAAGGCUAUGGCUCAACCAUAGUAUGGUUAGGAAACUGUUGAACUUGAGUAGAUGAGGGGAAAGUGGAAUUCCAUGUGUAGCGGUGAAAUGCGUAGAUAUAUGGAGGAACACCAAUGGCGAAGGCAACUUUCUGGAAUCAAACUGACGCUGAGGUACGAAGGCGUGGGGAGCAAACAGG